UACGUAGGGUGCAGGCGUUAAUCGGAAUUACUGGGCGUAAAGCGUGCGCAGGCGGUGAUGUAAGACAGUUGUGAAAUCCCCGGGCUCAACCUGGGAACUGCAUCUGUGACUGCAUCGCUGGAGUACGGUAGAGGGGAUGGAAUUCCGCGUGUAGCAGUGAAAUGCGUAGAUAUGCGGAGGAACACCGAUGGCGAAGGCAAUCCCCUGGACCUGUACUGACGCUCAUGGCACGAAAGCGUGGGGAGCAAACAGG
RNAcentral lists this ribosomal RNA (253 nucleotides) under uncultured bacterium. Its description in RNAcentral is "partial 16S ribosomal RNA". It matches the Rfam family "Bacterial small subunit ribosomal RNA", at positions 524 to 776 of the family's 1533-position model. The record is from RNAcentral.